Molecule: long non-coding RNA, 965 nt
Filed under: Homo sapiens (human)
Lineage: Eukaryota; Metazoa; Chordata; Mammalia; Primates; Hominidae
Description: HSALNT0320054
Source: RNAcentral
ACGAUUCACAAGUGUAACACUACUCAACUUGACUGCCCAGAUAUCCACAGAAUAUGAGAUGGAUGAUGCAAAUAAGAAAGAUCAUCAACUGUGCAAGGAACACCAGGCUUUGAGCAAGGGCUGCCAGCUCCUGCAGCCUAGCACCUUAGGAAAGCUUCCUGCUGACUCAAAAGGAUUUUUCUUCUUCUGAACUCCUAUUAUGGGAAUGGAUGAAAUCACUUACAGAGCCACAGAAGGAAACAAAGCAAAGCCAGGAUCAUGAGUUGGAUUAUCUGGAGGCCUAGGCCAAUGGGGAGUUAUUGCUUGCAGUCACUGAUCAAGCAAAUAAACUUUUCCUUCUUUCUUAUGAAAUUUAUUUAAGAAGCUGAAAUUACUUAAAUGAUAAUGAGUUGUGAGAAAAGAAUUGUAGUAGAUAUUUGUUCUCUAUCCAAAUUGCACUGAGUGGGGAGGUGUACCCAUACCCCAGCUUCGAGAAUUGACUGAUAACAGUUCACACCUGCACUUCUCCAGAGAAUUGUCCUUGUCUGACCUGAGCACCUUGUUUAGUAAUGUCUGGUAGGCUAUGCUCCACCUUCCCUGGGCAGAUCCACUGGUCUAAGACAAACAACCCAACCCUCUAAUUUCUGGGAAGAAUCACCUCCGUGAUUAAUCUAAGCUCCAGAUCUCCCAGAGAAAUCAUGCUGAGGCUACAUUUGUGAAACUACAUUUUUAUCUAGCUUCUUCCUUUGCCCUUUCCUGCUGUCCUCACUUCCUUAUGAAUUUUUUUCUGAAAGAUCUUGAUUAAUAAAUUAUUUAAUCAAGAUCCCCCAGUCAUAAGUUCUGUGUUUUGGAAUAUAACCUAUACAAAAAUAAAUUAAUUGGUACUAGAUAAUGCUCCGCUAUGCAUCUAUUUCAAUGUCUAUUCUUUGGAAGUUCUGUCAUCACACAUCCCCAAGUUUUAGAUAAGGUUUUUAGCUAACAGCCAG